GAUGAACGCUGGCGGCGUGCCUAAUACAUGCAAGUCGAGCGAACAGACGAGGAGCUUGCUCCUCUGACGUUAGCGGCGGACGGGUGAGUAACACGUGGAUAACCUACCUAUAAGACUGGGAUAACUUCGGGAAACCGGAGCUAAUACCGGAUAAUAUAUUGAACCGCAUGGUUCAAUAGUGAAAGACGGUUUUGCUGUCACUUAUAGAUGUAUCCGCGCCGCAUUAGCUAGUUGGUAAGGUAACGGCUUACCAAGGCAACGAUGCGUAGCCGACCUGAGAGGGUGAUCGGCCACACUGGAACUGAGACACGGUCCAGACUCCUACGGGAGGCAGCAGUAGGGAAUAUUCCGCAAAGGGCGAAAGCCUGACGGAGCGAAGCCGCGUGAGUGAUGAAGGUCUUCGGAUCGUAAAACUCUGUUAUUAGGGAAGAACAAAUGUGUAAGUAACUAUGCACGUCUUGACGGUACCUAAUCAGAAAGCCACGGCUAACUACGUG
This 497-nucleotide ribosomal RNA is filed under the name uncultured bacterium. Its description in RNAcentral is "partial 16S ribosomal RNA". It matches the Rfam family "Bacterial small subunit ribosomal RNA", at positions 28 to 507 of the family's 1533-position model. The record is from RNAcentral.